UACGUAGGGCGCAAGCGUUGUCCGGAAUUAUUGGGCGUACAGAGCUCGUAGGCGGCUUGUCACGUCGGGUGUGAAAGCCCGGGGCUUAACCCCGGGUCUGCAUUCGAUACGGGCAGGCUAGAGUGUGGUAGGGGAGAUCGGAAUUCCUGGUGUAGCGGUGAAAUGCGCAGAUAUCAGGAGGAACACCGGUGGCGAAGGCAGCUCGCUGGGACGGUACUGACGCUGAGACGCGAAAGCGUGGGGAGCAAACAGG
Molecule: ribosomal RNA, 253 nt
Filed under: uncultured bacterium
Lineage: Bacteria
Description: partial 16S ribosomal RNA
Rfam family: Bacterial small subunit ribosomal RNA
Source: RNAcentral